Molecule: non-coding RNA, 73 nt
Organism: Trichoplusia ni (cabbage looper)
Lineage: Eukaryota; Metazoa; Arthropoda; Insecta; Lepidoptera; Noctuidae
Source: the annotation of a RefSeq genome assembly
GACCGCGUGGCCUAAUGGAUAAGGCAUCGAACUGUUGGUUCGGGGAUUGCAGGUUCGAAUCCUGUCGCGGUCG